Non-coding RNA from Coniochaeta pulveracea, 89 nucleotides. The record is from the annotation of a GenBank genome assembly. Lineage: Eukaryota; Fungi; Ascomycota; Sordariomycetes; Coniochaetales; Coniochaetaceae.
GGGCGCUUGGUCUAGGGGUAUGAUUUCUCUUUCGCACUAAACUUGUGCUUUAUUAGAGAAGGUCCGGGGUUCAAUUCCCCGAGUGUCCA